UACGAAGGGUGCAAGCGUUAAUCGGAAUUACUGGGCGUAAAGCGCGCGUAGGUGGUUCGUUAAGUUAGGAGUGAAAGCCCCGGGCUCAACCUGGGAAUUGCUUCUAAAACUGGCGAGCUAGAGUAUGGUAGAGGGUGGUGGAAUUUCCUGUGUAGCGGUGAAAUGCGUAGAUAUAGGAAGGAACAUCAGUGGCGAAGGCGACAACCUGGACUGAUACUGACACUGAGGUGCGAAAGCGUGGGGAGCAAACAGGAUUAGAUACCCCGGUAGUCCCUGA
Molecule: ribosomal RNA, 277 nt
Filed under: uncultured prokaryote
Description: partial 16S ribosomal RNA
Rfam family: Bacterial small subunit ribosomal RNA
Source: RNAcentral